Zonotrichia albicollis (white-throated sparrow) is the source of this 1668-nucleotide non-coding RNA. NCBI's taxonomy places the organism in Eukaryota, Metazoa, Chordata, Aves, Passeriformes, Passerellidae. The record is from RefSeq and is a predicted model, not a curated record.
AGGGAAAUUCAGAAAAGCACAAAAUAAGGCAAAGCUGCUUCUAACACAGCAACUGCCAUUCAUAUUGUGAAAGCCUAGGAGGAACUGCAUUGGAAUACAUUACUUCAGUUGUGAAGAUAAAAAGUGUUGAAAUUGUUUCUUUCCCUGAGGAACCUCAAAGAGCCAGCAAGGCCAACCCCUCCAGCAGAAGUGGUUGAAGUUCUACUAAUGACUUAAUGGAAUAGCUUCUGUUCUGUAACAUUAUCCCUCUGGUUUGCUUGGCUUAUGAAAAAUAAGUUUCCUUUUACACAGGCAGCGUAAAAGUAAGUUUCCUUAUUUUUCACAGGCUUGUGAAAAAUAAGUUUCCUUUUACAUACAGGCAGUGUCACACACCACACUCCUCCUUCUGCCCUCCCUUCUCUCUCCAGCACCAUCCCUCUGUCCUUCUCCAGUCAGGAAAGUGAUAGAGAGUUUUAUUGCAGCUCACAUCAGUGCAAUGCUCUAGAAUGGGUUUAUUCACCUGAACUGUCACAGUGAAUUUUGGACUGCAGGGCAAUCCUGUUCAGUCUCACUCCAGUCUCCUGCUGGAGCUUGCAACACAGAUCCAGUUGGGAUCCAGGAAACACAGCUCUCUUCUCUCCACCACAUCCUGCAGCCUGCCCCAGACAGAGGCCACAGUGGGCCUUUACAAGCCCUGCCACAGCUGUAGGACUGGGUAAAGCCAUGAAGAGGAAAAAAUGUCUGAGGAACAGCUGAAAUAGGACUUCUAAGCUGGGUUCAAGGCCUUUGAUUUGAUUAGAUUAGCCACACCUUUGCAGGAAUUAAUCAGCUGUUAAUCAUUUACUUCAGCCCAAAGAGGAAACGUCCAGGUUACCUCUACAAGUCUCCAGGUACAGCAAGGGGUCCCCUCACCACAGGCCAAGAUCUCUUGGAGGAGUGAAGAGGAGGCAACAGAGGAAACACCUACUACAAACCACAACAGCUUCAGCAGGGUGCAAGCCAGCAUGUCACUAGAGCAAGAGGCAUCCUCAGAGCUGCAAGACCUAAAGAGCCUGAUUGCAACAAGUGGUUGGGCUCUUGGAGGGCUGGUGGUGAUUGUCAUCUUCUGCUCUGUUUUUAUUGCUCUCAUUUUGUUUGCUGCUAUCUUUGGGUGCUGCACAUCUCCAAGGCACAGACGGGGUGGCUCAUAGCCAGCAAAGUGGGGACACAGAACUUGGUACAGCUGAGCAAGAACCAGCCUGGGUACAACCUGAUUGUGUUGUUCACAGAAAACUCUCACCUCACUCCCUGCGUGGUUGUUUCUCUUCAUGCAACUUCCCUGCAUCAAGAACAAUGUCCCAGUGGCAGCAAGUUGUUCUGCAGGCCACAGCAAACUCACUACAUGAGGCUGUCUGGAUUCAGGAACCGCAACAUUCAGCGAAUACCAAAGUAAACUCGUCUCUGAUUUUCAUCUUUCAACCAAAACCACCAACUAGAGGUGGCAAAUGGUCAGCCACCACCUAAAUCUGAUAAAGAUGUGUUCUGCUGCUGCAGCUACGUGUGUUGGGAGGGGGGGUUUCAUCUUGUAAAAGGGCAGUAGGAAACUCUGGCCCUGAAAGCUUUGAACCCACUCUCUAAAAGCAGCUUAGACCAUUGUUCUCCUGUCAUACUCAGGCCUAAAUACACUAUGCAAAAACUUACUUGCCAGUA